This 468-nucleotide ribosomal RNA is filed under the name uncultured bacterium. RNAcentral describes it as "partial 16S ribosomal RNA". It matches the Rfam family "Bacterial small subunit ribosomal RNA", at positions 28 to 507 of the family's 1533-position model. The record is from RNAcentral.
GACGAACGCUGGCGGUGUGCUUAACAUAUGCAAGUCGAACGGAAAGGCCCUGCUUUUGUGGGGUGCUCGAGUGGCGAACGGGUGAGUAACACGUGAGUAACCUGCCCUUGACUUUGGGAUAACUUCAGGAAACUGGGGCUAAUACCGGAUAGGAGCUCCUGCUGCAUGGUGGGGGUUGGAAAGUUUCGGCGGUUGGGGAUGGACUCGCGGCUUAUCAGCUUGUUGGUGGGGUAGUGGCUUACCAAGGCUUUGACGGGUAGCCGGCCUGAGAGGGUGGCCGGCCACAAUGGGACUGAGAUACGGCCCAGACGCCUACGGGAGGCAGCAGUGGGGAAUAUUGCACAAUGGGCGGAAGCCUGAUGCAGCAACGCCGCGUGCGGGAUGACGGCCUUCGGGUUGUAAACCGCUUUCGCCUGUGACGAAGCGUGAGUGACGGUAAUGGGUAAAGAAGCACCGGCUAACUACGUG